CUCUGUAGCUCAGUUGGUAGAGCGCACGACUGAAAAUCGUGAGGUCACGGGAUCGACGCCCGUCGGAGCCA
This 71-nucleotide transfer RNA is filed under the name Caudoviricetes sp. RNAcentral describes it as "tRNA-Phe". It matches the Rfam family "tRNA". From Rfam's summary of the family: Transfer RNA (tRNA) molecules are approximately 80 nucleotides in length. Lineage: Duplodnaviria; Heunggongvirae; Uroviricota; Caudoviricetes. The record is from RNAcentral.